GCCGGCAGAUGUAGCACGUUGAAUGCACCCAGUUCCCCAUAGGUCAUUAAAAGUUCAGCAACCUAGUGCGUGGUUAGUAUACGGAUGGGUGACCAUCUGAACAAUCCCGUGCUGCUGGCU
Molecule: ribosomal RNA, 120 nt
Filed under: Diaphorina citri (Asian citrus psyllid)
Lineage: Eukaryota; Metazoa; Arthropoda; Insecta; Hemiptera; Psyllidae
Source: RNAcentral